This 868-nucleotide ribosomal RNA is filed under the name uncultured bacterium. RNAcentral's name for it is "bacterial SSU rRNA". It matches the Rfam family "Bacterial small subunit ribosomal RNA", at positions 57 to 918 of the family's 1533-position model. The record is from RNAcentral.
GCAAGUCGAGGGGCAGCACAUGAAGUAGCAAUACGGAUGGUGGCGACCGGCGCACGGGUGAGUAACGCGUAUGCAACCUACCUACAACAGGGGGAUAACCCGUUGAAAGACGGACUAAUACCCCAUAAUACAGGGGUCCCGCAUGGGGAUAUUUGUUAAAGAUUAAUCGGUUGUAGAUGGGCAUGCGUUCCAUUAGCUGGUUGGUGAGGUAACGGCUCACCAAGGCAACGAUGGAUAGGGGAACUGAGAGGUUUAUCCCCCACACUGGUACUGAGACACGGACCAGACUCCUACGGGAGGCAGCAGUGAGGAAUAUUGGUCAAUGGACGCAAGUCUGAACCAGCCACGUCGCGUGAAGGAAGACGGCCCUACGGGUUGUAAACUUCUUUUGUAAGGGAAUAAAGUGAGUCACGUGUGACUUUUUGCAUGUACCUUACGAAUAAGGAUCGGCUAACUCCGUGCCAGCAGCCGCGGUAAUACGGAGGAUCCGAGCGUUAUCCGGAUUUAUUGGGUUUAAAGGGUGCGCAGGCGGGAGAUUAAGUCGGCGGUGAAAUUUUGCAGCUCAACUGUAAAAGUGCCAUCGAUACUGGUUUUCUUGAGUGUGGAUGAAGUAGGCGGAAUUUGUGGUGUAGCGGUGAAAUGCAUAGAUAUCACAAGGAACACCGAUUGCGCAGGCAGCUUACUAAACCAUAACUGACGCUCAGGCACGAAGGCGUGGGGAGCAAACAGGAUUAGAUACCCUGGUAGUCCACGCAGUAAACGAUGAUUACUAGCUGUUUGCGAUACAUGUAAGCGGCUGAGCGAAAGCGUUAAGUAAUCCACCUGGGGAGUACGUUCGCAAGAAUGCAACUCAAAUGAAUUGACGGAA